UACGUAGGGGGCAAGCGUUGUCCGGAUUUAUUGGGCGUAAAGAGCGUGUAGCGGUUUGGUAGGUCCGCUGUGAAAACUCGAGGCUCAACCUCGAGACGCCGGUGGAAACCAUCAGGCUAGAGUCCGGAAGAGGAGAGUGGAAUUCCUGGUGUAGCGGUGAAAUGCGCAGAUAUCAGGAAGAACACCCGUGGCUAAGGCGGCUCUCUAGUACGGUACUGACGCUGAGACGCGAAAGCGUGGGGAGCGAACAGG
This 252-nucleotide ribosomal RNA is filed under the name uncultured bacterium. RNAcentral describes it as "partial 16S ribosomal RNA". It matches the Rfam family "Bacterial small subunit ribosomal RNA", at positions 524 to 776 of the family's 1533-position model. The record is from RNAcentral.